GACGGAGGAUGCAAGCGUUAUCCGGAAUUAUUGGGCGUAAAGCGUACGUAGGCUGUUUCAUAAGUCUGUUGUCAAAGCCCGAGGCUCAACCUUGGAUCGGCAAUGGAAACUGUGAGACUAGAGAGAGAUAGGGGCAGGAGGAAUUCCAGGUGUAGCGGUGAAAUGCGUAGAUAUCUGGAAGAACACCAGUGGCGAAAGCGUCCUGCUGGAUCUCAACUGACGCUGAAGUACGAAAGCUAGGGGAGCGAAUGGG
RNAcentral lists this ribosomal RNA (253 nucleotides) under uncultured bacterium. Its description in RNAcentral is "partial 16S ribosomal RNA". It matches the Rfam family "Bacterial small subunit ribosomal RNA", at positions 524 to 776 of the family's 1533-position model. The record is from RNAcentral. RNAcentral also lists the same sequence under 1 other name.